RNAcentral lists this ribosomal RNA (425 nucleotides) under uncultured prokaryote. RNAcentral describes it as "bacterial SSU rRNA". It matches the Rfam family "Bacterial small subunit ribosomal RNA", at positions 355 to 796 of the family's 1533-position model. The record is from RNAcentral.
UGGGGAAUUUUCCGCAAUGGGCGAAAGCCUGACGGAGCAAUACCGCGUGAGGGAGGAAGGCUCUUGGGUUGUAAACCUCUUUUCUCAGGGAAGAAUCCUGACGGUACCUGAGGAAUCAGCAUCGGCUAACUCCGUGCCAGCAGCCGCGGUAAUACGGAGGAUGCAAGCGUUAUCCGGAAUGAUUGGGCGUAAAGCGUCCGCAGGUGGCUAAUCAAGUCUGCUGUUAAAGACGGAAGCUUAACUUCUGAAAAGCAGUGGAAACUGGUAAGCUAGAGUACGGUAGGGGUUGAGGGAAUUCCCAGUGUAGCGGUGAAAUGCGUAGAUAUUGGGAAGAACACCAGUGGCGAAGGCGCUCAACUGGGCCGUAACUGACACUCAGGGACGAAAGCUAGGGUAGCGAAAGGGAUUAGAUACCCCUGUAGUCC